Non-coding RNA from Notolabrus celidotus (New Zealand spotty), 84 nucleotides. The record is from the annotation of a RefSeq genome assembly. NCBI's taxonomy places the organism in Eukaryota, Metazoa, Chordata, Actinopteri, Labriformes, Labridae.
ACCAGGAUGGCCGAGUGGUUAAGGUGUUGGACUCAAGAUCCAAUGGGCAACAGUCCUUGUGGGUCUCGAACCCCACUCCUGGUA